CGCACGCGGGCUCGCGGCGGCGGCGCAAAUUCGUCGUCUUGUCGCUCCGGUGUUCCUGUUGGAGGAACUCUCGUCCGCGGAGGCUUAACCGGAAAAGGAACAGUA
RNAcentral lists this small RNA (105 nucleotides) under Magnetospira sp. QH-2. Its description in RNAcentral is "rpsB sRNA". It matches the Rfam family "rpsB sRNA". The record is from Rfam by way of RNAcentral. Lineage: Bacteria; Pseudomonadati; Pseudomonadota; Alphaproteobacteria; Rhodospirillales; Thalassospiraceae.